CUACGGGGGGCAGCAGUGGGGGAUAUUGCACAAUGGGCGAAGGCCUGAUGCAGCAACGCCGCGUGAAGGAAGACGGUUUUCGGAUUGUAAACUUCUAUCAGCAGGGAAGAAAAUGACUGUACCUGACUAAGAAGCCCCGGCUAACUACGUGCCAGCAGCCGCGGUAAUACGUAGGGGGCAAGCGUUAUCCGGAAUUACUGGGUGUAAAGGGUACGUAGGCGGCUGAUCAAGUCAGAUGUGAAAGCCCGGAGCUCAACUCCGGGACUGCAUUUGAAACUGGUCGGCUAGAGUGCAGGAGAGGAAAGUGGAAUUCCUAGUGUAGCGGUGAAAUGCGUAGAUAUUAGGAAGAACACCAGUGGCGAAGGCGGCUUUCUGGACUGUAACUGACGCUGAGGUACGAAAGCGUGGGGAGCGAACAGGAUUAGAUACCCGCGUAGUC
RNAcentral lists this ribosomal RNA (439 nucleotides) under uncultured bacterium. Its description in RNAcentral is "partial 16S ribosomal RNA". It matches the Rfam family "Bacterial small subunit ribosomal RNA", at positions 339 to 795 of the family's 1533-position model. The record is from RNAcentral.